UCAGUGCAACCAACGGCCUUAAUACAUAUAUGUAUAUAUAUAUAUAUAUAUAUAUAUAUGUGUGUAUAUAUAUAUAUAUACACAUAUAUGUAUUAAGGCCGUUUGGCCUGUAUUUG
This 116-nucleotide microRNA precursor is filed under the name Pelobates cultripes (western spadefoot toad). The record is from RNAcentral. Lineage: Eukaryota; Metazoa; Chordata; Amphibia; Anura; Pelobatidae.